RNAcentral lists this transfer RNA (74 nucleotides) under Candidatus Methanofilum arcanum. RNAcentral describes it as "tRNA-Val". It matches the Rfam family "tRNA". Rfam says of the family: Transfer RNA (tRNA) molecules are approximately 80 nucleotides in length. Lineage: Archaea; Methanobacteriati; Methanobacteriota; Methanomicrobia; Methanomicrobiales; Methanospirillaceae. The record is from RNAcentral.
GGGCCUUUGGUCUAGUUGGUUAUGACACCGCCUUUACACGGCGGAGGUCGCCGGUUCGAAUCCGGCAGGGCCCA